Molecule: non-coding RNA, 2957 nt
Organism: Elaeis guineensis (African oil palm)
Lineage: Eukaryota; Viridiplantae; Streptophyta; Magnoliopsida; Arecales; Arecaceae
Source: RefSeq, a predicted model, not a curated record
GCUCAAGAAAAUUAUCAUCUGGCAAGUGUAUAAGGCGUAUCACGGACGCUGCUCCGAGCAAAAAAUUAGUACGUUUUCCUUCCAACGGACGAAAGUUCCGAAAGAGACCCGAUACGAAAACGAAAACCCCAGACCACCACCAUCUCCCGACUACCCGCGCCCCUCGCCUCCGAUCUCCGUCCCACCGCCUUUUAUAAAUGCCGCGAGAUCGCUUCGCUCCCUUCUAGCUAUCCUUCCUUCUUGGAUCGGACUUCUUCCCCCUUCCGCCAUGGCUUCUUGGCUCAAGGCCGCCGAAGACUUAUUCGAGGUUGUAGACCGGAGAGCAAAACUUGUUGUUGGUGAGUUGUCAGAUGAGCAGGCUGCUUCACAAGACUUAGCAUCCAACAAUCAAGAAGUUCAAACCAGGAGGGCAAAACCCAAGGAGAAGGGUCAAUUAAAACUCUCCACCACUGAAACUUACAAAGGCAUCAGACCUGAGCAAGACCGGAAAACCAAACAACCAUCAGUGCAAAUUGUGAAAACUGAUAAUGUCAAAACUUCUCCAUCUGAACAUUCUUCUCUUCAUGUUAGUAGUAAUGACACUGCAGAAACAAGCACAGAACCACCUUCUGAUAACAACAAAGAUACAACAGUAUCAGAUAUUGAAAGUGAUAAAGGUGGAAAUGAUAUAAACAAUGAGGUGGAAGUCCCAUCUGUGGACAAUAACAAAGAAAGCACAACUUCCUCUGCAAAUGAUCAUGUGAAAGUUGCAAAUUCAAAAGAUGAGCUUGAAAGGCCUUCCACCCCUCCCUCCAUUGGCAAAGGAAUUGAGAUAUCCAAUGGAGAUCAUCCUGCUGAUGCAGAACCAAAAGUCGAUUUGGUGGAUGAAACUACCUCGGCUGUCAACCAAGAGAGACCUGGAUCUGAAACAGUGGAAAGCCACAGCACUAGCAACACCCAAGAAAAUGAGAAAGAGAUCUUACUGGAGCUUUCAUCAAACAUGAACAAGCAACAGGAGCAUAAGACUGAUGCCUCUCCCAUGAAAGUUCAAGACCAGCUUGAUGAGGCUCAAGGAUUGCUUAAGAGUGCAGUUAAGACUGGUCAGUCAAAAGAAGCCAGGUUAGCUAGGGUCUGUGCUGGACUUUCUUCCCGUCUUCAAGAAUACAAGGCUGAGAAUGCACAGUUGGAGGAACUUCUUGUUGCAGAGAGGGAGCUCAGUUCUUCUUACGAAGCUCGCAUAAAGCAACUGCAGCAAGAGUUAUCUGCGUCCAAGAUGGAAGUGGCAAGAGCUGAAUCAAAUAUGGCUGAUGCUUUAUUUGCAAAAAACUCUGAAAUUGAGGCUCUUACAAGUUCAGUGGAUGCUCUGAAGAAACAAAGUGGUGCUGCAGAAGAAAAGCUUGCAUCCUUACAGGCUGACAUGGAAACUAUUAUGAGGAGUCGUGAACUAACUGAAACCCGGAUGAUCCAGGCUUUACGAGAAGAACUUGCUUCUGCAGAGCGUAGAGCUGAAGAAGAGCGUGCAGCACACAGUGCCACCAAAAUGGCAGCAGUAGAAAGAGAAAUAGAAUUAGAACACCGAGCUGUUGAGGCAUCUAAUGCUCUUGCUAGAAUCCAGAGACAAGCAGAUGAAAGCACAACAAGGGCAAUGGAACUGGAGCACAAAGUGGCUUUGCUUGAGGUUGAAUGUGCAUCUCUGACUCAAGAGCUACAAGAAAUGGAAGCUCGUAAUCGUCGUGGCCAGAAGAAGCCUUCUGAAGAAGCUAGUCAAAACCUUCAGAUGCAGGCAUGGCAGGAAGAAGUGGAGCGUGCGCGUCAAGGACAAAGAGAAGCAGAGAACAAGCUUUCUUCUUUAGAGGCUGAGAUACAAAAAAUGAGAGUAGAGAUGGCUGGAAUGAGAAGGGAUGCAGAGCAUUAUUCACGGCAGGAACAUAUGGAACUAGAGAAACGAUAUCGUGAACUGACAGAUUUAUUGUACCAUAAGCAAACACAACUAGAAGCAAUGGCCAGUGAAAAGGCUGCAAUGGAGUUUCAACUGGAGAAAGAGUUAAAGCGUUUCCAAGAAGCACAGGUUGAAGCAGAACGAAGUAGAGCUACCCGCCGAUCAUCAUCAACAUGGGAAGAAGAUACCGAUAUAAAAGCACUCGAUUGCAGACUUGCGCAAACGUUCCUGUGCAAAUUGUAUAGUGGGUUUGGCCUUCUUCAACAGCAAAAGGGGGGAAAAAAUCAUGUAACAGAUCAAUUGAGAACUGAAAAACGUGCUUAUUAUUAGUGCAAGAUUUGCACUCAAAUGAGUAGGUUAAUUUGUUAUGAUUGGUCAUUAGGUACAAAAUAAAGCUGAAUAAGAGUGCCUGUGACCUACAGCUAUUACUUGAAGCCGGCGAUUCAAUUUAGUUCAAUCUUCCUGGUCAAAGAAGGUUCUAUGUCAAGAGAAUGCUAGAUUUUCACAAAUAAUGUCUGCUGGUGGUGCGACUCUCCUUAGGCCUCUUCCUCUGCACCACCGGCAUAUGGUUGGGGCUAGCAUACAGUUGCAAAAGGCUGCAAAGCUUUUAGACUCAGGAGCUGUCCGUGCAACUAGAUUUCUAUGGCGGUAUCCAGUUGCUCGGGUCAUCCUACUCUUCUAUCUGGUAUUUAUCCACCUCUUUUUGAUGUAUGUGUUGCACCGCCUUCAGGAGCAAGCGGACAACUUCGCCUCCAGGGAAGUUGCUUUAUCUAUGGGUCUUGGCAAUUCAAGUUUGCCAUGAGUUGGCCAGCCAAUGCACAUCUGGUGGUCAUGCCAUUCCAUGGAUCUCUAGGAUCAUGCAAAAGCCUUGGUGUUUGAAUCUUUCGCCUGAGGACUUUCCUCUUUUUUGCCUGUGUAAAUGCUCUCGUUUUGUGGCUAGCCUCUUAACCAUUCUUUCAUCUCUUAUAUAACUAUCAGCAACUUAAUGCAAAUUGAUGAUUAUUAUUUGGAAAUGAAUAUACAAGUUCAGGAACGUUGG